This 32-nucleotide small RNA is filed under the name Bombyx mori (domestic silkworm). RNAcentral describes it as "ovarian small RNA-13663". The record is from RNAcentral. Lineage: Eukaryota; Metazoa; Arthropoda; Insecta; Lepidoptera; Bombycidae.
CCCCCGUGAUAGGGGGAGGGGGCUCCUCGGCA